GGUUAAGCGACUAAGCGUACACGGUGGAUGCCCUGGCAGUCAGAGGCGAUGAAGGACGUGCUAAUCUGCGAUAAGCGUCGGUAAGGUGAUAUGAACCGUUAUAACCGGCGAUUUCCGAAUGGGGAAACCCAGUGUGAUUCGUCACACUAUCAUUAACUGAAUCCAUAGGUUAAUGAGGCGAACCGGGGGAACUGAAACAUCUAAGUACCCCGAGGAAAAGAAAUCAACCGAGAUUCCCCCAGUAGCGGCGAGCGAACGGGGAGCAGCCCAGAGCCUGAAUCAGUGUGUGUGUUAGUGGAAGCGUCUGGAAAGGCGCGCGAUACAGGGUGACAGCCCCGUACACAAAAAUGCACAUGCUGUGAGCUCGAUGAGUAGGGCGGGACACGUGGUAUCCUGUCUGAAUAUGGGGGGACCAUCCUCCAAGGCUAAAUACUCCUGACUGACCGAUAGUGAACCAGUACCGUGAGGGAAAGGCGAAAAGAACCCCGGCGAGGGGAGUGAAAAAGAACCUGAAACCGUGUACGUACAAGCAGUGGGAGCACAGAGCAAUCUGUGUGACUGCGUACCUUUUGUAUAAUGGGUCAGCGACUUAUAUUCUGUAGCAAGGUUAACCGAAUAGGGGAGCCGAAGGGAAACCGAGUCUUAACUGGGCGUUAAGUUGCAGGGUAUAGACCCGAAACCCGGUGAUCUAGCCAUGGGCAGGUUGAAGGUUGGGUAACACUAACUGGAGGACCGAACCGACUAAUGUUGAAAAAUUAGCGGAUGACUUGUGGCUGGGGGUGAAAGGCCAAUCAAACCGGGAGAUAGCUGGUUCUCCCCGAAAGCUAUUUAGGUAGCGCCUCGUGAAUUCAUCUCCGGGGGUAGAGCACUGUUUCGGCAAGGGGGUCAUCCCGACUUACCAACCCGAUGCAAACUGCGAAUACCGGAGAAUGUUAUCACGGGAGACACACGGCGGGUGCUAACGUCCGUCGUGAAGAGGGAAACAACCCAGACCGCCAGCUAAGGUCCCAAAGUCAUGGUUAAGUGGGAAACGAUGUGGGAAGGCCCAGACAGCCAGGAUGUUGGCUUAGAAGCAGCCAUCAUUUAAAGAAAGCGUAAUAGCUCACUGGUCGAGUCGGCCUGCGCGGAAGAUGUAACGGGGCUAAACCAUGCACCGAAGCUGCGGCAGCGACGCUUAUGCGUUGUUGGGUAGGGGAGCGUUCUGUAAGCCUGCGAAGGUGUGCUGUGAGGCAUGCUGGAGGUAUCAGAAGUGCGAAUGCUGACAUAAGUAACGAUAAAGCGGGUGAAAAGCCCGCUCGCCGGAAGACCAAGGGUUCCUGUCCAACGUUAAUCGGGGCAGGGUGAGUCGACCCCUAAGGCGAGGCCGAAAGGCGUAGUCGAUGGGAAACAGGUUAAUAUUCCUGUACUUGGUGUUACUGCGAAGGGGGGACGGAGAAGGCUAUGUUGGCCGGGCGACGGUUGUCCCGGUUUAAGCGUGUAGGCUGGUUUUCCAGGCAAAUCCGGAAAAUCAAGGCUGAGGCGUGAUGACGAGGCACUACGGUGCUGAAGCAACAAAUGCCCUGCUUCCAGGAAAAGCCUCUAAGCAUCAGGUAACAUCAAAUCGUACCCCAAACCGACACAGGUGGUCAGGUAGAGAAUACCAAGGCGCUUGAGAGAACUCGGGUGAAGGAACUAGGCAAAAUGGUGCCGUAACUUCGGGAGAAGGCACGCUGAUAUGUAGGUGAAGUCCCUCGCGGAUGGAGCUGAAAUCAGUCGAAGAUACCAGCUGGCUGCAACUGUUUAUUAAAAACACAGCACUGUGCAAACACGAAAGUGGACGUAUACGGUGUGACGCCUGCCCGGUGCCGGAAGGUUAAUUGAUGGGGUUAGCGCAAGCGAAGCUCUUGAUCGAAGCCCCGGUAAACGGCGGCCGUAACUAUAACGGUCCUAAGGUAGCGAAAUUCCUUGUCGGGUAAGUUCCGACCUGCACGAAUGGCGUAAUGAUGGCCAGGCUGUCUCCACCCGAGACUCAGUGAAAUUGAACUCGCUGUGAAGAUGCAGUGUACCCGCGGCAAGACGGAAAGACCCCGUGAACCUUUACUAUAGCUUGACACUGAACAUUGAGCCUUGAUGUGUAGGAUAGGUGGGAGGCUUUGAAGUGUGGACGCCAGUCUGCAUGGAGCCGACCUUGAAAUACCACCCUUUAAUGUUUGAUGUUCUAACGUGGACCCGUGAUCCGGGUUGCGGACAGUGUCUGGUGGGUAGUUUGACUGGGGCGGUCUCCUCCUAAAGAGUAACGGAGGAGCACGAAGGUUGGCUAAUCCUGGUCGGACAUCAGGAGGUUAGUGCAAUGGCAUAAGCCAGCUUGACUGCGAGCGUGACGGCGCGAGCAGGUGCGAAAGCAGGUCAUAGUGAUCCGGUGGUUCUGAAUGGAAGGGCCAUCGCUCAACGGAUAAAAGGUACUCCGGGGAUAACAGGCUGAUACCGCCCAAGAGUUCAUAUCGACGGCGGUGUUUGGCACCUCGAUGUCGGCUCAUCACAUCCUGGGGCUGAAGUAGGUCCCAAGGGUAUGGCUGUUCGCCAUUUAAAGUGGUACGCGAGCUGGGUUUAGAACGUCGUGAGACAGUUCGGUCCCUAUCUGCCGUGGGCGCUGGAGAACUGAGGGGGGCUGCUCCUAGUACGAGAGGACCGGAGUGGACGCAUCACUGGUGUUCGGGUUGUCAUGCCAAUGGCACUGCCCGGUAGCUAAAUGCGGAAGAGAUAAGUGCUGAAAGCAUCUAAGCACGAAACUUGCCCCGAGAUGAGUUCUCCCUGACUCCUUGAGAGUCCUGAAGGAACGUUGAAGACGACGACGUUGAUAGGCCGGGUGUGUAAGCGCAGCGAUGCGUUGAGCUAACCGGUACUAAUGAACCGUGAGGCUUAACCUU
This 2906-nucleotide ribosomal RNA is filed under the name Escherichia coli. RNAcentral's name for it is "23S ribosomal RNA". It matches the Rfam family "Bacterial large subunit ribosomal RNA". The record is from RNAcentral. Lineage: Bacteria; Pseudomonadati; Pseudomonadota; Gammaproteobacteria; Enterobacterales; Enterobacteriaceae.